RNAcentral lists this long non-coding RNA (15273 nucleotides) under Nicotiana benthamiana. RNAcentral describes it as "long non-coding RNA (NBEN_LNC039052)". The record is from RNAcentral. Lineage: Eukaryota; Viridiplantae; Streptophyta; Magnoliopsida; Solanales; Solanaceae.
UCAUGAGUGCGAACAAAUGCUUUAUGACUGGAAAUUCAACGAAAAUCACCAAAGCUUUAGCAAUUAUCCAACAAAACAUCAAUUUGAAACUAGAUUAGAACAAAGAUCAGAAAAUUCUCACAAUAAUCUGGAUUUAAGCACUCCAAAAACAAGUGAAAGCAGAACCAUUAAAACAGUGCAUCAUGUUUUAUUAUCGAGCCAUCAGCAGAACAUUAAACCUCAAAAACAAACAAGAGAAAAACCAACAUCAUGUUUCGAUUCACAACACAUGAAAGUAUUGACUCAAAUAAUAGAGAAAAAGAUGAAGAGGAACCUGAACUGUUUUCCAAUAUAUUCAAAUUUCACAGUUGCUAAUUGACAAGCUAUGAACCAACCCCAAAUGCUAGUCAAACUUGAUUCGAAAUCACGAACCGCAACUCCAAACCUCGACAGAAACUCGAAUAGAACCUUAGUACAUCAAUUGAACUUCAUUUUCAGAAUAAAAACUCAAAAAAUAGUAGCUCUAAUUUCAAGCUCACUCGCAAAGAUAGGUAGGUGAGGGAAAUGCCUGAAGGUUCAAGGAAUCGACUGGUCUUUAGGUGUUCUCAUGGUGAUAAAUAAAGUAGAAGUAGUAGUGCAUGGGGUCCGUUCCUUUGGUGUUAUGCGGCUGUCCGCAUUUCUCAUGCCAUAGGGGUCUCCAUUGCCAAAGAUGCGGAUCUUCUUGUGAAGAAGAAGAGAUAAGGAUGGGUGGGUUGCCAAUUUUGUGGAAGCUGCGCUUUUCAGCUCUUAGAUCUAAGGUCUAUGUAUUUUUAGGCUAAUUUUGGUUAUAUAGAGAGAGUUUUAGGUUAAGGGGUAUGAGUUUGGUAUUAUUGGAUCUUAAAAUUGGGCCAAAGACUAAAAAGAAAGGAUUACAAGAUUAAAAUGGGACAGACUAACCCAAGACUAACUCUUCCUACAACAUAUAAAAUAGUCUUAAUUAAUUGAACUAAACUAUAUUUAGACUAUUUUUGUGUUUUCAAGAUUAUAUGAAAAUAAAGAUAAGGUACUAUUUUUUGUAUUUUAAUUUAUGAAAGAGAUGUAAACUAAAAUAUUUUUGUAAUUUUUAUUUUUGUGACGAAAUAAAGUAAAAGAGUAAAAAUUAGUUAAAAUAAAGAUAUUAGGCCUAAACUAUAUAAUUACAUGCUAAAAUAUGAAAAAUCUUGGGGAUGGUCAAAAAUCACAUGUCUACAGCUACCCCUCUUUGAUUGGAAAGGCGAAGUAUCUUGAGACAAAGAACAAUUAGCCAGUUUUUGAGACCCGACCCUUAUUUGGGAGAGACUAAAGCUGAGAGAAGGGGAAUGCGACUGAGCCCUGGUAUUUGAGUUGCCUACAUAUUCUUGGCUAUAAAGGAAUCAGGUCACGUGUAAGUUUAGAAAUGAGCGAGAUGAUGGAGUAUGCUGAGGUGGAGAGCCAGUCGAGGUACCGUCCCGCAGAGGUUCUGGUCCGCGGUCCAGUUAUUACAUCAAAAUUAAAAGAAUGAAAAAGACUAGCUAAAACUGUUAACUACCAGUUACAACAUUCCUAUCUAUAAGUCUUCUGAAGCUUGAUCUUGAAUCUUGAGUGGUUAUUCAUUCAGACUUUAGAUUUACACCUUGACGCUUGUUAGCUGCAGGUGCUAGCUCGUUCUUCUUCAUCUUUUCGAAUGAAGAUCGGACAUGUAGUGCUUGCGACCUCAAACAUGCCUUGAGAAGUUCACAUCUUUCAUCUACUUUUCAUUUUAAUUAACUUUUGGCUUUUUCUCUUUUUUUUUCUCUCUUUAUUGUGACUAACUUCUAUUGAUUACCUCGACUGUUGACUUGCAUUCUUGCCACGAGCUCAUUUUGUUGCUAACUUGAAUUGUAUUCUGAAGUGAAUUCCUUUAUUCUCCAAGUGGUGCCUGAUUGACAACAUUUGAACUAUAUUCCCUUGUUCUCCAGGGGGCGCCUGAUUUCAAAAAACUUGAGCUAUAUUCCCUUGCUCACCAGGUAGGUGCCUGAUUACCAAAAACUUAAACUGUAUUCCCUUGUUCUCCAGGUGGCCACUUAACUGCCAAAAACUGAAUUGUAUUCCCUUGUUCUCCAGGUGGGCGCCUGAUUACCAAAACUUGAAUUGUAUUCCCUNNNNNNNNNNNNNNNNNNNNNNNNNNNNNNNNNNNNNNNNNNNNNNNNNNNNNNNNNNNNNNNNNNNNNNNNNNNNNNNNNNNNNNNNNNNNNNNNNNGGGUGGGCGCCUGAUUACCAAAACUUGAAUUGUAUUCCCUUGUUCUCCAGGUGGGUACAUGAUUACCAAAACUAGAACUGUAUUCCCUUGUUAUCCAGGUAGGCGUCUGAUUACCAAAACUUGAAUUGUACUCCCUUGUUCUCCGGUGGGCGCCUGAUUACCAAAAAACUUGAAUUGUAUUCCCUUGUUCUCCAGGUGGGCGCUUGAUUACCAAAGAACUUGAAUUGUGUUCCCUUGUUCUCGAGGUGGGUACCUAAUUACCAAAACUUGAUAUUUCUCUCCUUUGAAUUGACGAUAUAGCAAUUUUGCUUGGAUUUAUCAGUUGUAGCAGGAGACAAUAUACCUUUAUAUUCUCGAUCAUUCUUUGAUUCAAAGCAUCGUUCCAUCUCAAUUGAAAAAGCAAAUAACGUUUCAAGAACAAAUCUAGUUCUGCUUCCGUGUUGCUUUUGUAUUGUAUUUCCUUUUUACCCUUCUUUGUGUCUGAUUCCGCGUAAUCUUUUUUAAGAGCAUUUUGAUGCUUUGAGUGAACAGGGCCCAGAUUUCCUUUUUUUCUAUAUCCGAUCCACGCUCUUUUUCUCCUUGACUUGUUGUUUUCUAGGUAGGUUUCUGAUUACCAAAACUUGCAUUGUAUUCCCUUGUUCUCCAGGUGGGUGCCUGAUUACAAAAACAUAAAUUGUAUUCCCUUAUAUUUCAGCUGGAUGCUUGAGUAUCAAAACUUGAAUUGUGUUCCCUUGUUCUCCAGGUGGGUGUCUGAUUACUAAAACUUGAAUUAUAUUCCCUUGUUCUCCAGGCGGGUGCCUGAUUACCAAAACUUGAAUUAUAUUCCCUUGUUCUCAGGUGGGCGCCUCAUUGCCAAAAACGUGAACUGUAUUCCCUUGUUCUCUAGGUGGAUGCCUGAUUGCCAAAAACUUGAACUGUAAUAUCUUGUUCUACAGGUGGGUUCCUGAUUGCCAAAAACUUAAAUUGUAUUCCCUUAUUCUCCAGGUGGGUGCCUGAUUGCCAAAAUCAUGAACUGUAUUCCCUUGUUCUUCAGGUGGGAGCCUGAUUGCUAAAAACUUGAAUUGUGUUCCCUCGUUCUCCAGCUGGGCGCCUAAUUACCAAAAACUUGAAUUGUGUUCCCUUGUUCUCCUAGUGUGGCCGCCUAAUUGCGAAAUAUCGAAUUGUAUUUUCUUGUUCUCCAGGUGGGUGCCUGAUUUCCAAAAACUUGAACUGUAUUUCCUUGUUCUUUAGGUGGGCGCUUGACUGCAAAAACUUGAAUUGUAUUUUCUUGUUCUCCAAGUGGGCGCCUCAUUGCCAAAAACUUGAAAUGUAUUCCCUUGUUCUUGAGGUGGGCGCUUGAUUGCAAAAACUUGAAUUGUAUUCCCUUAUUCUCCAGGUGGGCGCUUGAUUGCCAAAAACUUGAACUGUGCUCCCUUGUUCUCCAGUUGGGAGCCUGAUUGCCAAAACUUGAGUUGUAUGCCCUUGGUAUCCAGGUGGUUGAUUGAUUACCAAUAACCUUAACUAUAUUUCCUUGUUCUCUAGGUGGGCGCCUGAUUGCCAAAAGCUUGAACUGUAUUCCCUUGUUCUUCAGGUGGACGCUUGAUUGCCAAAACACAUGAAUUGUGUUCCCUUGUUCUCCAGGUGGGCGUCUGAUUGUCAAAAACUUGAAUUAUAUUCCCUCAUUCUCCAGGUGGGUACCUGAUUACCGAACUUGAUUUAUAUUCUCUUGUUUUCCAUGUGGGUGCCUGAUUACCAAACUUGCAUUAUAUUCCCUUGUUAUCUAAGUGGGCGCCCGAUUGCUAGAACUUGAAACUUUAUUCGCUCUUUAUUCAGGUGGGUGCCUGAUUUCUAAAACUUGAAACUGUAUUCCCUCGUUAUCCAGGUGGGCGCCUGACAUUUCAACAAAACAAAAGAAAUUUUUCUGCCCCAGUUUGAGAUCUGGGCAUAUUUGUGAGUGUUAAGCGAUCAUGUUACCUACAGAGCUCUAAGAAUUUGAAAGCUGAAUCUCAUUAUCCAGGAGGGCCCUGAAAACUUCAAAUUAAAUCUCAUCUUAAGAGUGAUAACUUUAAAGCUAAUUAUAUUUUCUAAAGGUAUAAUUUACGCUAAAACUUAAUACUAGAUCCAUUAUCCAGGAGUGUCCUGAAAACUUAAAACUGAAUCCCAUUUAUCCAGGAGGGUCCUGAAAUAUUUUAAAAUGAAAUACCAUUAUCCACGAGGGUCAUGAAAAUUUUAAUUUAAAUCACAUUAUCCAGGAGGGUCCUGGGAACUUUUUAAAAAGAAAUUAAAUCACAUUAUCUAGGAGGAUCCUCAGAAUUUAAAAACCAAAUUCCAUUAUCUAGGAGGGUCCUGAAAUUUUAAAUUAAAUUCCAUUAUCCAGGAGGGUCUUGAAAAUUUUAAAUUAAAUCUUGUUAUCCAGCGGGUACUGAGAACUUUUUUUCUAAAAUUAAAUCCUAUUAUCUAGGAGGGUCCUGAAAUUUUAAAUUAAAUUUCAUUAUCCAGGAGGAUCCUAAAAUUUUAAAUUAAAUUUCAUUAUCCAGGAGGAUCCUGAAAACUUUUUAAAAUUAAAUCUCAUUUUCCAUGAGGGUCCUGAAAACAUGAAGCCUAAAUCCUAAUAUCAAGGACGGUCCUGAAAUUUUAAAUUAAAUCUCAUUAUCCAGGAGGGUCCUGAGAACUUAAAGCCUAAAUCCCAUUAUCCAGGAGGGUCCUAAAAUAAAUUAAAUUCCAAUAUCUAGGAGGAUCCUGAAAACUUUUAAAAAUUUAAUCCCAUUAUCCAGGAGGGUCAUUAGAACUUAAAGCCUAAAUCUCAUUAUUCAGGAGGGUCCUAAAAAUUUUAAAAACUAAAUCCCAGUAUCCGAGGGAGGGGGGNNNNNNNNNNNNNNNNNNNNNNNNNNNNNNNNNNNNNNNNNNNNNNNNNNNNNNNNNNNNNNNNNNNNNNNNNNNNNNNNNNNNNNNNNNNNNNNNNNNNNNNNNNNNNNNNNNNNNNNNNNNNNNNNNNNNNNNNNNNNNNNNNNNNNNNNNNNNNNNNNNNNNNNNNNNNNNNNNNNNNNNNNNNNNNNNNNNNNNNNNNNNNNNNNNNNNNNNNNNNNNNNNNNNNNNNNNNNNNNNNNNNNNNNNNNNGGGGGGGGGGGGGGGGUCCUGAAAACUCUUAGCUAACGACAAUUUUAACACUAAGCUAUAUCUUCUAAAGGUACAAUUUUCACCACUUCUUGUAUUUAAGCAGACCAUAAAGCUACGUCCCAUUAUACAAGAGGGUCCUGAUAACUCUUAACUAACGACAAUUUUAACACUAAGUUAUAUCUUCUAAAGGUACAACUUUCACCACAUCUUGUUAUCUGAGAAAGUAUUAAAGUUACAUCCCAUUAUACAGGAGGGACCUGACAACUCUUGACUAACGAUAAUUUUAACACUAAGCUAUACCUUCUAAAGGUAAAUAUUUCACCAUUUUGUUAUCUAAGAAAAUAUUAAGGCUACGUCUCAUUAUCCAGGAGAGACCUGACAACUCUUAACUAACGACAAUUUUAAUACUAAGCUAUAUCUUAUAAAGGUACAACUUUCACCAUGUCUUGUUAUCUAAGAAAACCAUAAAGCUAUGUCCCAUUAUCUAGGAGUGUCCUGACAAUUCAAAGUCAAAUUUCAUCCUAAGAGUGACAAUUCCUUCCGGCUGAAUUAUAACUACCUUACAACAGAAUUUACGCUAAACAUUGUUAUCUAAUGAAAAUCUUAAAGCUAGUUCCCAUUAUCCAAGAGGGUUCUGAAAGUCCCUAAUUAGAUUCUUUCUCAAACAUUCACUUUAAGCCGACUUAUAUUAUUUUGGGGUACAUUUAUACUAGAUUUGACUACCCAUUUUUUUUAAAAAAAACUAGGUCCCAUUUUCGAGGAGGGUCCUAAAAACUUCUAAGAAAUCCUAUCUUAAGAAUGAAAACCUUGAAACCAACUUAUAUGCCUUGGGGGAGGGGGGUACAUUUACCCUAGCUUAUGUUACUCAUGAUUAUUUUGAAUUUUAAACUAGGUCCCAUUUUCAAGGAGUAUUCUUAAAAUUUAUGGUCAUACCUGUCUGGUGCUUGCUUUUCCCUUAUGGAGGGUUUCUCCAAAACAAACAAAAUUUGCUGCCCUUGUUUCAAUCAAAGAGAGAUCUUGUCAGUUUAAAAUGUGGUAGUUGGUUUGUGGCCUUGACUCUGAGGGCGAUUGCUCCUUAACAUCCCAUGAAAAAUGAUUUCCACUCGAUGACCUGGCUUGUUUAUUGACUAACCACUUUCUUUAUUAUCCGUAUCACUGAAAAUACCUUUUCUCCGUUCAGACCCAAUAUCCUAUAUUUGUUGCAUUGCUCAUGAACUAGAAUCUACCCAGCCUUUGUGUCUCAUAUGAUCUCAAAGUAUGUCCAUUGCCCCCACUUCAUGUGUAUGCUGUUCUUUCUUGACAUAAACCACUGGCCUUGGCCUUAAGGUCUGUUGCUCCUUGACUUUCCAUGAUAACUGAUUUCUAUUCGAAGACGUUGCUUGUUCCUUGACUAACCACUUCAUUUGUCAGCCUUAACACUGAAAAUACCUCUUCUCCGUUCAAACCUAAUACCUUAUAUCUGUUGUAUUGCUCCUGAACUGACAUUAACCAACCUUUGUGUCUCACAUGAACCCCAAAGCAUGAUACUUGUCACCCCGUCAUUGCGUAUGCAUGUUCUUUAUUGACUUAAACCACUGGUCCUAUCCUUGAGGUCUACGGCUCCCUCAUUUGCCAUGAUAACUUUGAUUUCUGCUUGGAAGGUCUUGCUCGUCACUAGUUUAACACACUUUUGUCAAUCUUAUCACAGGAGAUACCUUUGAUCUGUUCACCCUAACCCUUCAUUUGUUGCAUUGUUCAUGAAUUUAUAUAUACCAAGCCUUUGUAUUUCACAUGGAUCCCAAAGCAUGUUGCUUUUUACCAACUCAGUGUGCUUGCUGUUCUUCCUGACUUAUGACACUUUGAUGUGCUAGCUAGAUCCCAUUUUGUGCAAUUGGAAAGUUGGUGGAUGAUUUUGAAGUCGUUUCUCACUUAUUCUGACCCAACAGGCUCAGGAAGAGAAAGUAAACAAAACAAAAAGAAACUGUGUAAAGGACAAAGGAAAUAGAUGAUUCCUAACAAGAAAACUAUAAAGUAAAAACCUAUUAGAUAUGAAUACCAACUCCAAUGACCAUGAUAUGCACUUGUGGCCUAUUCUAUCAAGCAAGUCCAAUGUUCAACUCCUAUUAUGCCACCCAAACCAUGAAACUAGGCUUCGAUGCUCCAUUAUUAGUCAUCUUUCACAAUCUCCGUCUGGUGAUUCCCAUCUAAUUCUCAAUCCUUAUUUGACUUGUAGUGCCCGAAGGGUUUUCACCAUCAAGCCUCUCUCAUUUUGUUCUUUCUCUCAACUUACAGUCGCCUCAAGAAGCCCGUAAAGGUUUUCACCAAUAAGACUCUCUCAUUUUUUAUUUCUUUCAGCUCCCGUCGCCCUACGAUGCCCGUGAGGGUUUUUACCAAUACGACCGUCUCAUUUUCAUUAUUUUCUUAUGUGUACCAGAGUGUUUCCCUUGACAUGAAUCACCUUUAUUUCUCGACUUCGCAUCUCUCGAAAACUGAUCAAAAGGUCUUUCUUUGGGCUGUCACGUGUGCUUUUGAUAAGGUUAGAAAGAAAGGGUAUUAACGGCUCAAAGAAAUUCAAAUGAGUUCAAAAUUACAACUUCGGGACCAGAUUUGUUACAACAACCACAACUUCAAUCCCAGUUUCUUGCUAGGGGACAUUUGAAUUUUAUUUUGAUGGGACCGAACUGUGAGGCUGCAUACGUAUCCUUAAAAUAAAUAAGGUCAAACGUAGUUCAUGACAUAGAAAUUACUUUUUUUUGUUGUGAUUUUUCUUUUCCUUUUCUUUUCCCUUCUUUCCUUCUUUUUGGUUUUUUUUCUCUUUUCUUUUUUUUUUUCUCUUUUCAUUCUUUUCAUUUUCUCUUCUUUUUUUCUUAUCUUUCACGCUUGUGUUUCUGAUUUUUUCUACUGAUUCCAAAAGAGGGGUAUGAAAAAAAUAAAUAAGGCUCAAAGGGGCAACGAAAGAUAAAGUGUUUAGAUAGCAGAACAAAAUGCCUUCAUCAUUCCAAUCUCCAAAACAUGCAAAGUAAAAACAACACAAUUAAACAAACCAAAGAAAACAUUUGUAACAUCUUUUGAUUGUACCAGACUUGAUAACCAUAUCCACACAUUCGCCUUCAACGUCUGGGGAAUACAAAGCCCCAUUGGAGAACACUCUCACUUUUCUUACCACGAACGACCUCUGUCAAAUUGGGAAAAUUUUCCUUUAGCUUCAAUAUGAUGCGGCAGGAUGCGUCUCAAUAGUAUUUCUUUAUGUUCUAUCUGCCCCAGUUUCAUAUAAUUCGCUCUUGAAGUGAUCUCAAUAUCUCUUUACUUAUUUCCCUCAAAUAUCCAUACCGUCUUCCAAAUUGCUUCAUAAUUAAACUAACUUUUUCAAGACCAGGCUGAGAAUUACGCGUGCAUGCCAUAUCACUAGAGUCAACAGGAAAAGGACUAUAAAAGAAAAGAGAACUAAACAAAAAUGACUAGAAAUAACAUAAGACAUAAAAUUGCAUUAGAUGGAAGAUGAAAGGGUUUGAACACCAAAACAAGCAAACUAAACUGGGGCUAUAACCCUAAAACAAACCUAGACAGCACUAAGCGAGUUACUACGACUAACAAACCAGGCAAAAAAAAAGAUAGAAGGAUAUGAGUCACAAGACAAUAUCCGGAUUACAACCCUGAAAUAACCCGGACAAUAGAAAUGAUAACAAAUAAGUCACAAAACUCGCUGGCUAGCCAAGGAAAAGCGUCUUUCCAAUAUUCAAACUCAACAUCUUAGCCACUAACUCCUGCACCAACAAUACUAGGACCUUCACAAGUCUCCAUCACAUUUUUCUUAACAAAUUGCCUUUGGGUUCCCUUUGCCUACUCGGUCUUAGGAUCAACCUCUGAUAGCGCUGAAAGCUUUGCAUCACGUGGACUUUUGAGGAUCUCAGAAGAAUUCUCAUAUUCCUUUUCAAAAUAAAUCAUACCCACCAUAUGCAUAGGCGAUGGACUUUAGCUAGUGUCUGCUGUGUCUGGAUUUUGCAUGACAAUGUUACCUGCAUCAAUAAGCUUCUGCAUUGCUUUCUUCAGAUUCCAACACUUCUAUAUGUCAUGCCCCGGGGCAACUGAGCAAUAUGCGCACCUUUGAGAAAAAUCAAACUUCUUUGAUAGAUGGUUCGACAUUUUUAUCUGAAUCGACUUCAACAUGUCCAGUUUCCUCAACCUUUGGAACAAAAUGGCAUAUGAUUCUCCAAUAGGGAUGACAGCCUUCUCUUUUUUCUGCAACCUCUCAUUCUUAAAUGCUUGAUUGUGCCGAAAACCUGAUCCAGGAGGGUUUCGGUAGGCUCGUGGAGGCGAGUAAGACAUUUGUGGACGUGGUGCGGGCCAUUGAGGGCCUUGUGGGUGUGGAGCAUAUGGUGUUGCAUUGUGGAUAGGGUACCGGGAAAGCGAUGUACGACUUUGGGGUUUCUUUGGAGAACUAGCAUCGGGGAGGGUCAUCUAGUGCACAAGGAUAUUCAUUGGGCCGAUCUCGAGGCUGAAAGUGUUGAGCACGAAUGCCCAGCGGAUAAUCUAUUCUAUUUCUUUUUCUUCCACCCAAACUUACUGGUGACAUUCUAAAUGUCUUUUGAAGUAUCUUUUAAUGCCGAAUAACUCAUGAUUUUGCCUGACUUGAUUCCCUAUUCUACCAGCUCCCCCAUUUUUAACACUUCAUUGAAAGGCUUUACCAAGGCCGGGACCAAAUGACUAAAAUAGGUGGGCCCUUGGGCUUGUAGGAAAAGCUCAACCAUUUCUUCUUCACCAAUCGGGGUGCUGACUCGAGUAGCUUGCUCCCUCCAUUUAGCCCAAAAUCCCUAAAGCUUUCCUCUUGCUUCUUUUCCAUAGGGAUGAGCGGUCUCGAGUAACGCUUGAUUUUUAUUGAAAGUAUCAAACAAAAUCUUGGGCCAUGUCACCCACUGUAGGCCACUUACCAGUAUCUUGACGAUUACGCCAUUCGAAAGCUGCCUCAGUCAAGCUCAUACGGAAAUAGGCCAUCAACAGGUUAUCUUGCUCUCCAAAACUUCUCAUUUCAUUGCAAUAAACCCUCAAGUGCACUUCUGGAUCUCCACACCCAUCAUACAAGUUAAAUUUGGGCACUUGAAACUCCGAUGGCAGGCGAACGUCAGGGGACACAUACAGUUCUUUGUAAGCCAUGCUACCCUGGUCUUCUAUUCCUUGCUUGUUCUUUAAACACUGAUUUAUUCCUUUCAGUCUCCUGGGUAUCCCAUCUCGCCCUUCUCUUCUUGUGAACUUUUUAUUUUCUACAUGAGGCUCAUCCUGCAGACCUUACUUGUGUGAGUUGGGAACCUUGUGGACAACAUCUGAGGGGUAAUAUUAGGCAUCAUGAGCUUUGAGUGGGUGUUCAUUGUCGGGGAUAGUGGAUAUGACAAGAGAGCAAUUUUGGGGAAAGAUUAUUGGAGGACGAGUAAUAGAGCUACUAGGGUGGUUGGGAAAGUUUUGAUAAGCAGGAAAAUCUGGAGAGUAUGCGGAAUCAUCUGGCACUAUGACUGGAGUUUGGGUAAAGGUAGCAUUUAAGAAGCUAGGGGGCAGGGAUAGUGCCUUCCCAGUCAUCUAGGCCUGAUACAUGUCCGCAAUGUAUUGUCUUAACAUCCUUACCUCUUCAACCAACCCAUUUUCCCAUUCAACUAAUUGCUUUUGGGCACCCGUAUCAACCAACUCAGUUCUAUUGUCAUUUGCCACUGCCUUUCAACUUUAUGUUGUAGAGAAAAGUUACCACUUUAAAAACCACAAACCAACCACUCUUCUUUGUUUUAUAACAAAAGGAACAAAAUGAGGUCAUCACGUUAGCCUUAGGUCAUUUAACAACUAAAAUGUCGCAUCGCGUGCAAUACACCCAGUUAUAGUUAUCGGUUCCAACAUGACUUCGAGGGAAUGAGGUAAUAUGACAUCAUCCCAAUUUAUUCUUUUCGAUCUUCUCUUUUCUUUCCCUUUCUAACACUGGCUUGCUCAUUUUCCUUCCUCUUUUUUCUUCUGAUUAUCGCUCGUUUCUUUCCUCUCAUUUCUCACAUCCCAUACUUUUAUCUUUCUUUUUUUCUUUUUUUUUCUAUCUUUCUUUGUGCUCUUUUUUUUAAUAAAACAAAAAAAUGAUUCGAACAAACCCUAUAUGGGUUGCCUAUGUAUCAUGACACCGCAAGAAUCGGAUCUUUGCGCAGUUCUGAAAGAUCAUGAAUAAAGUAAACAAACUAACAUUCUCAUUUUUCUUUUCUUUUUUUUAUUACCUUAAUGACUACUCUGAGGAGAAAAGAGAAAUAAAAGAAGAAUUUUUUUUUUGAAUUUUCUAGAUUAAUGUUCUAUAACAUAUUCCAAACUCAAGCUUAACAAGCAUAUAUUUUUUUGGCUCUCUUUUUUUUUAUAUGAAACAAAUACUCUAUAGGAAAUUAUUAAGGAAAAACCCUAGAAGAGAAAAAAUAUUUUUUGAAUAUUUUUUUUUUCAGGAAGAAAAUCUAAAGAAUAAACCAUAGAAAAAUAUUUUGAAUUUUCAUUUGAUAUCUUGAUGCCAGAUUCCGAAAAAGCAAUGAAAAAGAUAAAAUAAAAUAUUUCUGGAUUUUCAUUUGAUUGCCUAAGGGAGAAACCCUAAAGAUAAACCAAAGAUAAAGUAUAUUUCUUUUUCCUGUAUGUACAAUGUCCUAAAGUUCUAGUAAAAAGAUUUUUUUUCAUUUUCAUUGAUUUCCCAAAGAAAACCUCCAAAGAUUUUUUUUUUUAAUUUUUGGAAUUAAUAUCUUAAAGAAAACAUUUAAGGGGUACUAAAAAAAGAUCUCCUUUUUAUUGAAUUUUUGUUCUUAAUGUACUAAAAGGAAAUAGAGAAGUAAUUUUUAUUUUGAGUUCUAACUAUUAAUUCCUAAAAUAAAAAACCACCUCAAAUGAUUUCUUUUCAAUUUCCAGGAGUAUUAUUUCUAAAGAUAAUUCUAAAGGAAAUAUAAACGCAAACUAUCUUUCUUUUUUAAUUUCGAUUUAUAAUACACUUUCUCAAAUGCAAAAUAGAAAAUACAAUAGUAAUAAAAAAAACUCGACAUUACUACACAAAACUAGAAUGUAAAGACAACAUACAAAAAUAAAAAAAAUAAAAAUCUCCUGGAGCAACUUCUGAAUGCAGCGGCCCUGAGGUAUCUGUUAUGCUCAAACUCCGGUAAGCAGAUCCACACCUGUAUGCGAAAACUUAAACUAACAAUAUGUGAGAAAAUAACAUACCCUAUUAGAUACAUGCAAGACAUGGUUGCGAUUAUUUUUUGCAAAAUAACUUAUUUAGCCAAAAGGUGGCUAGAAGUGCAAAAUUUAGCUAAGACCUGCAAAGCAAAGAGUAUGUGGGUUGCCUACAUAUCAGGCCUCGAAAGACGAGAAUCAGGUAUACGUAGUUCGGGCAAAUUGGAUACGGGAAAAAAAUUAAAAAAAUAGCUAAUUUUUUAGAGAAAAUAUUUUCUUUUGUCUUUUUUUUUGAAAAAUGAUGAAACGCGUAAACUCUUUUUGGAUUUUCUUUUCCUUUUUUUUUUAUUUACGGAAAAUCAUGAAAAAGUACAAAAUCUUUUCUUUUUUUUUUUGAAUUUUUUCUUCUUUUUUUAAUAAGAAUGUAACAAAAACAUAACUAGAUCCUACUUGCUUCAUUUUCACACUUCACCCUCUCUUUUUCUUUUUUUUUUCAUUCUUUUUUUAUUUUUUUCAUUUACCCUCAGCUAUCAUUGGUCCGCCAAAUGGCCCUUUCACCCUUGAAUAAAUGCAACAUGUAGCACGCAAGAUGCAUAAAGUACACCUGUCCUAGACGGACCCAACCCCUGUGUUGAGUCCUCUAAGUUAAAUAUACAUGAUGCAAACAAAUGCUCCUACUAGGGAUCCGGCAUGAGGCUGAGUUAUUCUAGGGUCAAAACCUGGGCAUGUGUUCUAGACUAUGUACCGGGAACCAAAAGGCCAUCCGACUUAGUAACUUGUUCGAGCCUCUUUCUUAUUUCAAGGUAUGGCACUAACAAAAUAGGGAGUAUCGACCAACGAGCACAUCCCCAAAGAUGAGAAGAGAAGGGUUUCGUGGCAGUUUAUAUACAAUUCAAAUAAUAUCAAAGCGGUAAAAGCAUCAUUUAGCACAUUAGGCCCAAACAUGUAACAAAUAUAAGAUAAUAGAUAAAGCCAAAUAUAACAAUUCAUUUAAGCUCGAAUUCUGAACCUUAAACUAGAGAUUCUGGGUUCUUGUCCCCAGCAGAGUAGCUAGAGCUGUGACAUAUUCUUUUUACACUACAUCCCAAGACGGGCGUAGUUAAGGGAGUUUUUCCAACUAAAGGACAAUCAGAAUGAGAUUUAUUUAUAUUAAAAGAUUCAGAGUCGCCACUUGGGAGAUUUAUAGUGUCCCAAGUACAGGUUCAAAUCCCGAAUCGAGGAAAGGGUGGACUCUUACGGUCCGCGAAUCAGAAAUUCGAGUAAGGGAUUCUGUUAACCCGGGAGAAGGUGUUAGGCAUUCCCGGAUUCCGUGGUCCUAGCAUGAUCGCUCAACGGUAAUAAUAUUGGCCUAAUUAUCUGAUUUUAAACACUUUUAAACCUAUGUGAAUUUUUAGCUUUAACCGCUUUCAAUUAAUUGUAAGGAAAAGUUCAACGUCACAUAAAACGCGUUUUGAACCGCAUCACAUAAAUGCACCCGCAAUCCGCCACACAUUUUAUAUAACAUUGUCAGGAUUUAGAUUUGGGUCACAUAAAUGCGCACCCGAAUUUAGGGAGGUAAAAUUUUAAACUAAAACGCGUAAAGUAAUUUCGCGUUCGCAACUUUGCUAGGGCAAUGAAAAUUUCACUAAGUGAAACACCUCGAAUUCUAAGAAUUAAAUAAAAUUAAAUAAGGGCCGUGCAUUUUUUGAUUUUGUUUGGCACGACACACUUUAAUUUCUUUCAAAAGGAUUGCAUUCAGUUACACGAACUACAAAUAUUCAUCUGUUUCCCUAAGUUUCGGAUUUGCUGUGAAGCAACGAAUUAUGGAUAACGAAUUAGCUAAAGGUGAUCACUUAAAGGAAUUGAUAAAUCAUGAAAAAGUGAUGGAAAUUACUUAAAAUCACUGCCAACUAGCGUUGUUUGAACCAAAAGAAUAAGGGAAAAUGACAAAGGCAGACUUGAAUCAAAGCUAAAUGAAAAGAAGAACCGGUAGUAUAUUAAUGGAGAUUUAAAAGUUAAUUGGAAAGGAGAGGGAAAUUCAUACUACCAGAUGCAUUACUCAUGGGUGCGAACAAAUGAAUUAUGACUGGAAAUUCAACGAAAGUCACCAAAGCUAUAGCAAUUAUCCAACAAAACAUUAAUUUGAAACUAGCUUAGAACAAAGAUCAGAAAAUUCUCGCAAUAGUCAGGAUUUAAGCACUCUAAAAACAAGUGAAACCAGAACCAUUAUUACAGUGCAUCAUGUUUUAUUAUCGAGCCAUCAGCAGAACAUUAAUCCUCAAAAACAAACAAGAGAAAAACCAACAUCAUGUUUCGAUUCACAACACAUGAAAGUAUCGACUCAAAUAAUAGAGAAAAAGAAAAAAAAGGAAGCUAAACUGUUUUACAAUAUAUUCAAAUUUCACAGUUGCUACACGGAUAAGCUAUGAACCAACCCGAAAUGCUAGUCAAACUGGAUUCAAAAUCACGAACCGCAACUCCGAACCUCGACAUAAACUCGAAUAGAACCUUAGUACAUCAAUCGAACUCAAUUUUCAUAAUGAAAACUCAAAAAACAGUAGCUCUAAUUUCCAUCUCACUCACAAAGUCAGGUAGGUGAGGGAAACGCCUGAAGGUUCAAAGAAUUGACUGGUUUUUAGGUGUUUUCAUGGUGAUGAAGAAUGAAGUAGAAGAAGCAGCGCAUGGGGUCCGUUCCCUUGGUGUUCUGCGGCUGUCAGCUUUUCUCAUGCCCUAGGGGUCUCCAUUGCCAAUGCUUCGGAUCUUCUUGUGAAGAAGAAGAGAGAAUGCUGGGGGUGGGGUACCAAUUUUGUGAAAGCUGCACUUAUCAGCUCUUAGAUCUAAGGUCU